UAAUUUAUUGAGCAAUCUGAUAACUAAAUUUGAGUUAUGAAACUAAUGCUUAAGAGUAUUUUCUAUUUCAUUUCUUCCAGAUAUGUUGUUCUGGAGCUAUGUAAGUCCAAGAUCAAGGCAUCAACAAGUUCCAUGGCUGGCGAGGGCUGCCCUCUGCUUCCAAGAUGGUGCAUCAUUGCUGUGUCCUCACAUAGUGGAAGGACCAAAGAGGCAUGAGGAAGAAAUGGUGUUACCAGCAUUCACUGAGGAUUAGAAUUGCAAAAAUGUUGCUUUCUAGUGGGAAAAAGGAAAAAAAGUUAUUACCAAGGA
Molecule: long non-coding RNA, 309 nt
Organism: Homo sapiens (human)
Lineage: Eukaryota; Metazoa; Chordata; Mammalia; Primates; Hominidae
Exons: 3
Source: RefSeq, a predicted model, not a curated record